Molecule: ribosomal RNA, 2246 nt
Filed under: Escherichia coli
Lineage: Bacteria; Pseudomonadati; Pseudomonadota; Gammaproteobacteria; Enterobacterales; Enterobacteriaceae
Also listed under: 1 other name
Description: partial 23S ribosomal RNA
Rfam family: Bacterial large subunit ribosomal RNA
Source: RNAcentral
UGGCAGUCAGAGGCGAUGAAGGACGUGCUAAUCUGCGAUAAGCGUCGGUAAGGUGAUAUGAACCGUUAUAACCGGCGAUUUCCGAAUGGGGAAACCCAGUGUGAUUCGUCACACUAUCAUUAACUGAAUCCAUAGGUUAAUGAGGCGAACCGGGGGAACUGAAACAUCUAAGUACCCCGAGGAAAAGAAAUCAACCGAGAUUCCCCCAGUAGCGGCGAGCGAACGGGGAGCAGCCCAGAGCCUGAAUCAGUGUGUGUGUUAGUGGAAGCGUCUGGAAAGGCGUGCGAUACAGGGUGACAGCCCCGUACACAAAAAUGCACAUACUGUGAGCUCGAUGAGUAGGGCGGGACACGUGGUAUCCUGUCUGAAUAUGGGGGGACCAUCCUCCAAGGCUAAAUACUCCUGACUGACCGAUAGUGAACCAGUACCGUGAGGGAAAGGCGAAAAGAACCCCGGCGAGGGGAGUGAAAAAGAACCUGAAACCGUGUACGUACAAGCAGUGGGAGCACGCUUAGGCGUGUGACUGCGUACCUUUUGUAUAAUGGGUCAGCGACUUAUAUUCUGUAGCAAGGUUAACCGAAUAGGGGAGCCGAAGGGAAACCGAGUCUUAACUGGGCGUUAAGUUGCAGGGUAUAGACCCGAAACCCGGUGAUCUAGCCAUGGGCAGGUUGAAGGUUGGGUAACACUAACUGGAGGACCGAACCGACUAAUGUUGAAAAAUUAGCGGAUGACUUGUGGCUGGGGGUGAAAGGCCAAUCAAACCGGGAGAUAGCUGGUUCUCCCCGAAAGCUAUUUAGGUAGCGCCUCGUGAAUUCAUCUCCGGGGGUAGAGCACUGUUUCGGCAAGGGGGUCAUCCCGACUUACCAACCCGAUGCAAACUGCGAAUACCGGAGAAUGUUAUCACGGGAGACACACGGCGGGUGCUAACGUCCGUCGUGAAGAGGGAAACAACCCAGACCGCCAGCUAAGGUCCCAAAGUCAUGGUUAAGUGGGAAACGAUGUGGGAAGGCCCAGACAGCCAGGAUGUUGGCUUAGAAGCAGCCAUCAUUUAAAGAAAGCGUAAUAGCUCACUGGUCGAGUCGGCCUGCGCGGAAGAUGUAACGGGGCUAAACCAUGCACCGAAGCUGCGGCAGCGACGCUUAUGCGUUGUUGGGUAGGGGAGCGUUCUGUAAGCCUGUGAAGGUGUGCUGUGAGGUAUGCUGGAGGUAUCAGAAGUGCGAAUGCUGACAUAAGUAACGAUAAAGCGGGUGAAAAGCCCGCUCGCCGGAAGACCAAGGGUUCCUGUCCAACGUUAAUCGGGGCAGGGUGAGUCGACCCCUAAGGCGAGGCCGAAAGGCGUAGUCGAUGGGAAACAGGUUAAUAUUCCUGUACUUGGUGUUACUGCGAAGGGGGGACGGAGAAGGCUAUGUUGGCCGGGCGACGGUUGUCCCGGUUUAAGCGUGUAGGCUGGUUUUCCAGGCAAAUCCGGAAAAUCAAGGCCGAGGCGUGAUGACGAGGCACUACGGUGCUGAAGCAACAAAUGCCCUGCUUCCAGGAAAAGCCUCUAAGCAUCAGGUAACAUCAAAUCGUACCCCAAACCGACACAGGUGGUCAGGUAGAGAAUACCAAGGCGCUUGAGAGAACUCGGGUGAAGGAACUAGGCAAAAUGGUGCCGUAACUUCGGGAGAAGGCACGCUGAUACGUAGGUGAAGCGACUUGCUCGUGGAGCUGAAAUCAGUCGAAGAUACCAGCUGGCUGCAACUGUUUAUUAAAAACACAGCACUGUGCAAACACGAAAGUGGACGUAUACGGUGUGACGCCUGCCCGGUGCCGGAAGGUUAAUUGAUGGGGUUAGCGCAAGCGAAGCUCUUGAUCGAAGCCCCGGUAAACGGCGGCCGUAACUAUAACGGUCCUAAGGUAGCGAAAUUCCUUGUCGGGUAAGUUCCGACCUGCACGAAUGGCGUAAUGAUGGCCAGGCUGUCUCCACCCGAGACUCAGUGAAAUUGAACUCGCUGUGAAGAUGCAGUGUACCCGCGGCAAGACGGAAAGACCCCGUGAACCUUUACUAUAGCUUGACACUGAACAUUGAGCCUUGAUGUGUAGGAUAGGUGGGAGGCUUUGAAGUGUGGACGCCAGUCUGCAUGGAGCCGACCUUGAAAUACCACCCUUUAAUGUUUGAUGUUCUAACGUGGACCCGUGAUCCGGGUUGCGGACAGUGUCUGGUGGGUAGUUUGACUGGGGCGGUCUCCUCCUAAAGAGUAACGGAG